Molecule: long non-coding RNA, 553 nt
Organism: Mytilus californianus (California mussel)
Lineage: Eukaryota; Metazoa; Mollusca; Bivalvia; Mytilida; Mytilidae
Exons: 2
Source: RefSeq, a predicted model, not a curated record
UGUUUCCGUUUUAAACUGUUGACGUACAUCCUUCUAUAGUUUCCGUUUAAAACUAAUUGUAACUUUACUUACUUUCAGUAGUCGCAAUAUCAUCACUCCAUUAACUCUUUGAUUGAAGAUGGGAUUGAAACUGAGGACAAGUGUUACCAUAGUUUGUAUCGUCUUGAUAUUAGUAGGAAGAACAUCUGCUGUUUUCUGCACAAAGCAAUGUAUUACGACUGCCUUUGGAUGUUUUAAUAGAUGUGAUGUCAAUUAUUAUCGUAGCGGUAGAGGGUAUGAUGAGUACAGAAGAUGUGUGAAUACCUGUCGAGUGAGUUGUUAUGAGUGUUCGCUAGAAUGCAGUGACUCUACCUACUCGUGCAAAGAUUACUUUAAUCUUAAUUGAAACAGUAAUUUCUAUUGUUAAGAAUUAUUUCUUUGAUACAUUUGUAUAUCUGGACUCUGACUAUACUAGUUUUAUCAAGCUUGUCUUCAUAGGCGCAUAAUAAAGAUUUUGAUAUUAAAUUAAUUAAUAGGAUAUUUAGAUAAUAAUAAAUACUUUUAUGUACUUUUG